Molecule: unclassified non-coding RNA, 406 nt
Filed under: Hevea brasiliensis (rubber tree)
Lineage: Eukaryota; Viridiplantae; Streptophyta; Magnoliopsida; Malpighiales; Euphorbiaceae
Source: RNAcentral
GAUUUAAAAGUCUCUCUUGUUUGAAAACCAAGCAAUUUUAUCACUUGGUGACUGAUCAAGUUCUAGGUUUCACAUAUAUUUUUCUCUCACCUAUAUGAGUCUGUGUACAAGCAUAUGAAUUCAAUUAGUGAAUGAAACUAGCCACAUGAGAAAUAUAUUAAAUCUUAGUCUUCAGGUAAGGAAAAUAUAUGUUUGUUUUACUUGGAGGAUUAUGAAAUCAAAGGUUACAAGAACUACAAAAAAACAUGAAGAUAGAACAAGCACAUGACCCUAAUGAUUUUCCUAUUGAAGUUUGGAAGCUCCUUGGAGUGAACACAAUGAUUUGAUGACGAGAAUAGUUAGUAACCUAUUCAAUAAAGAAGAUGCUUGAGGGCCUAAGCAUCAGGAAAUUGUUUCUAUCUUUGAG